UUGUACACACCGCCCGUCGCUACUACCGAUUGAAUGGCUCAGUGAGGCCUCCGGACUGGCCCAGGGAGGUCGGCAACGACCACCCAGGGCCGGAAAGUUGGUCAAACUCGGUCAUUUAGAGGAAGUAAAAGUCGUAACAAGGUCUCCGUAGGUGAACCUGCGGAGGGAUCAUU
RNAcentral lists this ribosomal RNA (173 nucleotides) under Sonderhenia sp. PWC-2019. RNAcentral's name for it is "partial 18S ribosomal RNA". It matches the Rfam family "Eukaryotic small subunit ribosomal RNA", at positions 1660 to 1830 of the family's 1831-position model. The record is from RNAcentral. Lineage: Eukaryota; Fungi; Ascomycota; Dothideomycetes; Mycosphaerellales; Mycosphaerellaceae.